GAUGAACGCUGGCGGCGUGCCUAACACAUGCAAGUCGAGCGAAGGGACGCGGAGCUUGCUGCUCUGAUGUUAGCGGCGGACGUGUGUGUAACACGUGGAACACCUACCUAUCUGACUGGGAUCACCUGGGAAAACCGGCGAUUAUAGCGGAUAAUCUUUUGAUCCGCAUGGUUCAAGUGGGAAGGGCGGUCUUGCUGUGGCUUAUAGAUGGAUCCGAGCUGCAUUAGCUAGUUGGUAGGGUAACGGCUUACCAAGGCAACGAUGCAUAGCCGACCUGCGAGCGGGAUCGGCCACCCUGGAACUGAGACACGGUCCAGGCUCCUACGUGAGGCAGCAGGAGGGAGUGUUCAGUAAUGGGCGAAAGCCUGACGGAUGAACGACGCGUGAGUGAUGAAGGUCUGCGGAUCGUAAAACGCUAUUAUUAGGGAAGAACAGAUGUGUAAGUAACUGUGCUGAGCUGGGCGGUACCGAAACAGAAAGCCACGCCUACCUACUG
Molecule: ribosomal RNA, 496 nt
Filed under: uncultured bacterium
Lineage: Bacteria
Description: partial 16S ribosomal RNA
Rfam family: Bacterial small subunit ribosomal RNA
Source: RNAcentral